AUUGAACGCUGGCGGCAUGCUUUACACAUGCAAGUCGAACGGCAGCACGGGUGCUUGCGCCUGGUGGCGAGUGGCGAACGGGUGAGUAAUGCGUCGGAACGUACCGAGUAGUGGGGGAUAACGCAGCGAAAGUUGUGCUAAUACCGCAUAUUCUGUGGGCAGGAAAGCGGGGGAUCUUCGGACCUCGCGCUAUUCGAGCGGCCGACGUCUGAUUAGCUAGUUGGUGGGGUAAAGGCCUACCAAGGCGACGAUCAGUAGCGGGUCUGAGAGGAUGAUCCGCCACACUGGGACUGAGACACGGCCCAGACUCCUACGGGAGGCAGCAGUGGGGAAUUUUGGACAAUGGGCGAAAGCCUGAUCCAGCCAUGCCGCGUGUCUGAAGAAGGCCUUCGGGUUGUAAAGGACUUUUGUCAGGGAGGAAAUCCUGCUGGUUAAUACCUGGCGGGGAUGACAGUACCUGAAGAAUAAGCACCGGCUAACUACGUGCCAGCAGCCGCAGUAA
Molecule: ribosomal RNA, 502 nt
Filed under: uncultured bacterium
Lineage: Bacteria
Description: partial 16S ribosomal RNA
Rfam family: Bacterial small subunit ribosomal RNA
Source: RNAcentral